Molecule: ribosomal RNA, 433 nt
Filed under: uncultured bacterium
Lineage: Bacteria
Description: partial 16S ribosomal RNA
Rfam family: Bacterial small subunit ribosomal RNA
Source: RNAcentral
AACGAACGCUGGCGGCAUGCCUAACACAUGCAAGUCGAACGAGACCUUCGGGUCUAGUGGCGCACGGGUGCGUAACGCGUGGGAACCUGCCCUUAGGUUCGGAAUAACUCCCCGACAGGGGUGCUAAUACCGGAUAAUGUCUUCGGACCAAAGAUUUAUCGCCUUUGGAUGGGCCCGCGUUGGAUUAGCUAGUUGGUAGGGUAAAAGCCUACCAAGGCGACGAUCCAUAGCUGGUCUGAGAGGAUGAUCAGCCACACUGGGACUGAGACACGGCCCAGACUCCUACGGGAGGCAGCAGUGGUGAAUAUUGGACAAUGGGCGAAAGCCUGAUCCAGCAAUGCCGCGUGAGUGAUGAAGGCCUUAGGGUUGUAAAGCUCUUUUACCCGGGAUGAUAAUGACAGUACCGGGAGAAUAAGCUCCGGCUAACUCCGUG